CCAUAGAUAUAGGAGAUCUAGAUUGCUAACGCAUACCCAGCGCAGGCGGGGCCUACAUGAUAAAUCCAAGAUGGCGGUACAACAGGGCAAAAAGACUAUAAAUUCUAUUACGAAAAUCAGGAUUUUUGCAUUUUUUGCCGUCGCAUUGUUUCGAAACUUAUUCGGUCAAAUUUUAUGGUAAAGAGAAACUUACCGCGAAGAUUUUGAGCAUAUAUAUGAUUGAAUUGGAUGAAAAAUCGCAAAAUUAUCCAGCGAUAAAAGUUCGUGUGAAAUGGUCAGUUGGUCAGUUGGAGCG
Paramuricea clavata is the source of this 295-nucleotide non-coding RNA. NCBI's taxonomy places the organism in Eukaryota, Metazoa, Cnidaria, Anthozoa, Malacalcyonacea, Plexauridae. The record is from the annotation of a GenBank genome assembly.